Molecule: ribosomal RNA, 253 nt
Filed under: uncultured bacterium
Lineage: Bacteria
Description: partial 16S ribosomal RNA
Rfam family: Bacterial small subunit ribosomal RNA
Source: RNAcentral
GACGGAAGGUGCAAGCGUUGCUCGGAUUUAUUGGGCGUAAAGGGUGCGUAGGCGGCGGAGUAAGUUGGGUGUGAAAUCCCGGGGCUCAACCUCGGAAUGGCAUUCAAUACUGCUUCGCUAGAGUACUGGAGAGGAGGCUGGAAUUUACGGUGUAGCAGUGAAAUGCGUAGAUAUCGUAAGGAAGGCCGGUGGCGAAAGCGAGCCUCUGGACAGUUACUGACGCUGAUGCACGAAGGCCAGGGGAGCAAACGGG